AUACAUGCAAGUCGAGCGGACAGAUGGGAGCUUGCUCCCUGAUGUUAGCGGCGGACGGGUGAGUAACACGUGGGUAACCUGCCUGUAAGACUGGGAUAACUCCGGGAAACCGGGGCUAAUACCGGAUGGUUGUUUGAACCGCAUGGUUCAGACAUAAAAGGUGGCUUCGGCUACCCCUUACAAAUGGACCCGCCGCGCAUUAACUAGUUGGUGAGGUAACGGCUCACCAAGGCUACGAUGCGUAGCCGACCUGAAAGGGUGAUCACUCACGCUGGGACAGGGACAGGGGCC
RNAcentral lists this ribosomal RNA (291 nucleotides) under Bacillus siamensis. RNAcentral describes it as "partial 16S ribosomal RNA". It matches the Rfam family "Bacterial small subunit ribosomal RNA", at positions 51 to 332 of the family's 1533-position model. Lineage: Bacteria; Bacillati; Bacillota; Bacilli; Caryophanales; Bacillaceae. The record is from RNAcentral.